RNAcentral lists this ribosomal RNA (276 nucleotides) under uncultured bacterium. Its description in RNAcentral is "partial 16S ribosomal RNA". It matches the Rfam family "Bacterial small subunit ribosomal RNA", at positions 241 to 507 of the family's 1533-position model. The record is from RNAcentral.
UUAGCUUAGGUUGGCGGGGUAAUGGCCCACCAAGGCGACGAUCCGUAGCUGGUCUGAGAGGAUGAUCAGCCACACUGGAACUGAGACACGGUCCAGACUCCUACGGGAGGCAGCAGUAGGGAAUAUUGGACAAUGGGCGCAAGCCUGAUCCAGCCAUGCCGCGUGAGUGAAGAAGGCCCUCGGGUUGUAAAGCUCUUUUGUCCGGAAAGAAAAGCGCCGGGUUAAUACCCUAGUGUCCUGACGGUACCGGAAGAAUAAGCACCGGCUAACUUCGUG